Molecule: ribosomal RNA, 329 nt
Filed under: Amanita sp. 'penetrans'
Lineage: Eukaryota; Fungi; Basidiomycota; Agaricomycetes; Agaricales; Amanitaceae
Description: partial 28S ribosomal RNA
Rfam family: Eukaryotic large subunit ribosomal RNA
Source: RNAcentral
UCUGACCUCAAAUCAGGUAGGAAUACCCGCUGAACUUAAGCAUAUCAAUAAGCGGAGGAAAAGAAACUAACAAGGAUUCCCGUAGUAACUGCGAGUGAAGUGGGAAAAGCUCAAAUUUGAAAUCUGGCAGUCUGAUUUUUCAUCUUGGCUGUCCGAAUUGUAAUCUAGAGAAGUGCUACCUGUACUGGACCGUGUAUAAGUCUCCUGGGAUGGAGCAUCAUAGAGGGUGAGAAUCCCGUCUUUGACAUGGACUCCCAGUGCGUUGUGGUAUACUUUCAAAGAGUCGAGUUGUUUGGGAAUGCAGCUCUAAAUGGGUGGUAAACUCCAUC